CCUACGGGAGGCAGCAGUGAGGAAUAUUGGUCAAUGGACGAGAGUCUGAACCAGCCAAGUAGCGUGAAGGAUGACUGCCCUAUGGGUUGUAAACUUCUUUUAUAUGGGAAUAAAACAGGGUAUGCAUACCCUCUUGUAUGUACCAUAUGAAUAAGGAUCGGCUAACUCCGUGCCAGCAGCCGCGGUAAUACGGAGGAUCCGAGCGUUAUCCGGAUUUAUUGGGUUUAAAGGGAGCGUAGGUGGAUUGUUAAGUCAGUUGUGAAAGUUUGCGGCUCAACCGUAAAAUUGCAGUUGAUACUGGCAGUCGUGAGUACAGUAGAGGUGGGCGGAAUUCGUGGUGUAGCGGUGAAAUGCUUAGAUAUCACGAAGAACUCCGAUUGCGAAGGCAGCUCACUGGACUGCAACUGACAUUGAUGCUCGAAAGUGUGGGUAUCAAACAGGAUUAGAUACCCUAGUAGUC
RNAcentral lists this ribosomal RNA (460 nucleotides) under uncultured bacterium. RNAcentral's name for it is "partial 16S ribosomal RNA". It matches the Rfam family "Bacterial small subunit ribosomal RNA", at positions 338 to 795 of the family's 1533-position model. The record is from RNAcentral.